GAUGAACGCUGGCGGCGUGCCUAAUACAUGCAAGUCGAGCGAACAGACGAGGAGCUUGCUCCUCUGACGUUAGCGGCGGACGGGUGAGUAACACGUGGAUAACCUACCUAUAAGACUGGGAUAACUUCGGGAAACCGGAGCUAAUACCGGAUAAUAUAUUGAACCGCAUGGUUCAAUAGUGAAAGACGGUUUUGCUGUCACUUAUAGAUGGAUCCGCGCCGCAUUAGCUAGUUGGUAAGGUAACGGCUUACCAAGGCAACGAUGCGUAGCCGACCUGAGAGGGUGAGCGGCCACACUGGAACUGAGACACGGUCCAGACUCCUACGGGAGGCAGCAGUAGGGAAUCUUCCGCAAUGGGCGAAAGCUUGACGGAGCAACGCAGCGUGAGUGAUGAAGGUCUUCGGAUCGUAAAACUCUGUUAUUAGGGAAGAACAAAUGUGUAAGUAACUAUGCACGUCUUGACGGUACCUAAUCAGAAAGCCACGGCUAACUACGUG
RNAcentral lists this ribosomal RNA (497 nucleotides) under uncultured bacterium. RNAcentral's name for it is "partial 16S ribosomal RNA". It matches the Rfam family "Bacterial small subunit ribosomal RNA", at positions 28 to 507 of the family's 1533-position model. The record is from RNAcentral.